Non-coding RNA from Chelonia mydas (Green sea turtle), 147 nucleotides. The record is from Rfam. NCBI's taxonomy places the organism in Eukaryota, Metazoa, Chordata, Testudines, Cheloniidae.
CCUUUCCUGCUGCCUGAUCCUGCUAUGAAGUCAUAUCCUUUAUGACAUCACAAUCUGCUGCCCUGGAAAUGAUGGAGCUGUCACAAAUUCAGCGUUAGGGUCACUGCACUGCAGGAUCACACAGGAGCAGAUGGGCUAGGAGAGAAA